RNAcentral lists this transfer RNA (72 nucleotides) under Lachnospiraceae bacterium. Its description in RNAcentral is "tRNA-Ile". It matches the Rfam family "tRNA". From Rfam's summary of the family: Transfer RNA (tRNA) molecules are approximately 80 nucleotides in length. The record is from RNAcentral. RNAcentral also lists the same sequence under 2 other names. Lineage: Bacteria; Bacillati; Bacillota; Clostridia; Lachnospirales; Lachnospiraceae.
GGAUACUUGGCGCAGUGGUAGCGCAGCAGUCUUAUAAACUGUGUGUCGCCGGUUCGAUUCCGGUAGUAUCUA